Molecule: long non-coding RNA, 198 nt
Organism: Nomascus leucogenys (northern white-cheeked gibbon)
Lineage: Eukaryota; Metazoa; Chordata; Mammalia; Primates; Hylobatidae
Exons: 3
Source: RefSeq, a predicted model, not a curated record
UAAUCUUGGGUAAAAUGUAUACUGUUCGGGUGAUGGUGCACCAAAAAUCUCAUGAAUCACCACUAAAGAACUUAUGUAACCAAAUACCAACUGUACCCCAAUAACUUAUGGAAAAAAUCUUCGUAAAUAAACAAAUAAAAACAGAAGCAGGUAUGGGUGUCACAAGGAGGAAAAGGCCAGUCAACAGAAUUGUUUCAC